Long non-coding RNA from Epinephelus lanceolatus (giant grouper), 2025 nucleotides. RefSeq lists it as uncharacterized. The record is from RefSeq and is a predicted model, not a curated record. NCBI's taxonomy places the organism in Eukaryota, Metazoa, Chordata, Actinopteri, Perciformes, Serranidae.
UGGCUGUCAGGAAACAGACUGAGCUGAACAUCAACAGUCAGCGUGUAUGAUUUAUUGUCCCAUGAUAGGACUAAGCACAAAAGCAAUCAUUCAGUCAACAAUGUGAGCACAGUAAAUGUUCAGUGAAAACAGACAGAGCUGCAGCAGACAGGAGACAUGGUGGACACACCUUUACCUGAUUACAGUCGACCAGUGUCAACGGACGAAUCAUUUUAUUCGAGGACUUUGUCCCUGAAGAUCUCUGCACACUGAGAGGAGCUGACUCGUUCACGCACACGACAGUGUUUACUGCUGGUUUAAAGAAUAUCAUUCUCAGAGGUCCAGUGUGCCUCCACUGCCACGUGAUCUUGUGAACAGUGCUGCGUCCUCAGCUGAUGAUAUUCCAGCUAAAAUGGGUCAAACCAUUUUUACUUAUGACUGUGUUCCCAUGGCUGCAGUUUGUGCUGGCGGUGUACUGGUUGUUUGCUGUGUGAUAGCUGUUGUCGUCUGGUAUAAAUGUAUACGUGCCAAACCUGAUUCAUGGAGGAAAACAUCACAUGAAAGUGAAGUACAAAGGAUGAAGACCGAAGAACAGGAGAACAUUGCACAGGUGGUUUCCAGCCUACAAGAACUGAUAAAGGACCUGGAGGCACAGAAACAUCAAGUCAAGGGAGAACUGGAGGAGGUGGAGGCAGACAGAGAAGAGAACGAGAGGCAGCUUCAGGCAGUGGAGGCAGAAAUAACAGAGAGAGAAAAGGUAUUUGACAAACCAGAGAGGUUAUUGAGAGAUAAAGAAAAUCUACUGCAGGCUCAGUGGAAACUGGACGAGACAAAGAGGAACAUAGAGAGACGGAUACUGAACAUAGAGAAAGUGCUGGAGCCAGUGGAGAUACAGGUCAGUAGAUUGAACAGGAGGAGAGAUGUCUAGGUAUGGAUAGAUUAGCCAAACACAAGGCAAAUUAGAAAUCACCAAAAGGUGAACAGAUACAGCUCACAAACAUUUUAUUGAUGCACCAGGAAACUGGCUUCAGUGUCAAUAUUCAGAUGAGUUAAGUCAUGCUUACUGGGAUGGUUGAAAAAAUUUGAUGUAAAGUGAAAUUUUAGAAAAGAGGGUUAUCACUAAGUGCAACUGAAUUACAUUUUUUUUUUUUUUUUUACAAUCAUUAACUAUAAACUCUAAACAACAUUACAAUAACAGCUGUCUGUUGUGGACCAUACCAUUAACAAAAUUCACAUUGUUUCCACAGAAUAUGCAGCCAAUGAUUUGCAGUUUCUAAACUGCUGAAGUUCAGGUCAAGUCCUUUUAUUGUCAUUGUAAACAAAUACAAUGGAAUUCAACACACAGAAUAAAACAGAACCCAUUUAAAAGUAAUAAAUAAAUGGGAAAGGAGGGGAUAGUUUUCUUUACAUUCAAGCUUAUCCAAAACCAAAUUUAUGGAUCUUUCUCGUCUUAUUUAAAGUUAGUAUAACAAACAACUGAUAAUUCUUCUUGACUGAAUAAUAUCAUAAGAAUAUCCGAGAAAUGUAUAAAUUGUGUAAAGUAGACAAUUCUGAUUCCAAUCUGUACUGCCUUUUCUACUAUAUUUGUGUAUUACUGCAGCAAUUUGACCAGUGUUUUUUUUUUUUUUGUUUGUUUGUUUUCACUCAAUGCAAAAAACAUUUUUUUUCAUGCAGGUACAACUAACACAUGACAAGUAAUGCAGCUUUUGUAUAAUGCCAUCAGAUGUUUGUAUUUUGAUAGUCAUUAUUGAUAACAUGUUCGUCUUGGACAGAAAACAGCUAAAAAAUUGAACUAACUGUGUGAUGUCAGUGUGUUGCUGUGUUAAGAGUUUAGAAAAAGUAUCUUGUUACUAACUGUAAAAUAACAAUACUAAUUGAGUGUAUGUAAAAAUGCAUUUAGGGAUAAGAUUUGCACAUUUGCAUGGUGAUACAAAAUGUUAAAGUCAUGAUCUGAGCUGCUGUGUGAUUUGCAUUUGUAAUGUCACAGUUCAGAAUUUGCUAUUUUCUCUGAUUGUGAGAAUCAAAUAAAAUUUGAUUUUAACAUGU